This 1381-nucleotide long non-coding RNA is filed under the name Helianthus annuus (common sunflower). RNAcentral describes it as "hypothetical non coding rna". The record is from RNAcentral. Lineage: Eukaryota; Viridiplantae; Streptophyta; Magnoliopsida; Asterales; Asteraceae.
UUAAGCAAUCUUUUUUCUUGAAAAGUUAAAAGAUUUUGUUCCUCUUUUCACUUCUUCAUUACCAAUAAAACAAUACACACUCUCAAAUCAAUUGUCCCACCCAACACAACCUUCCAUUGAAAUUCUGGCCUAACAUGACCAUCACCACCAUCGCAUCACAGCCAUCACCACAUCCCCCUCCUAUCUUGGUGUCCUACUCUUUUUGAAAGUAUAGAUCUGACCAGAUUAAAAGGGAUUAAAAGGCUGGAUAGAACAAAUCUGAAAAAACGGUCAAACGGCAUGUGAUGGCCCGUAUGAGGUUCAACUAACUAUACCAGUGGAGGGUUAUGAGUUGGAUAUACUCAUGUUCUCUUGGUGAUGGUAAACGGGAGUGGAUAGUUUGUUGGCGUUGCUGAAAUGAUGGGGCUUGAUUUCUUAUACAGCCAUGUAACACAAGCCACCACCACAAUCUUGCACCUUAAUUCUCAUUAAGGCAUUUCCUAUAAUCGAGAUUCAAGAAACGAAGCAAUGCUCAGCAACAAAAUUGAAAUGGAGCUGCUGAUUUAGUAGAAAUUGAUGUGCAGGCAGAGGCACAUGUAAAUUAUACUUGAUAGUGAAUCUCUGCACAUAAGAAUUGUGCUUGAAAGAAAUAGUGAUGUGGAGUAAGAAAUAGAGGGGGAUAAUGGAUUGGCAAAGGAACUAUGCGCAUCGCUGAAAUGCUUUGAUGUGUCAUUAUUUCUCCUCAGGUUGUAUCUCGGUGAUUUGUAUCUACCAAAGCAUGUCGACAUCAAAUUCGGAGGACGGUACAUGUAAUCGAAUUCGGAGGACGGUAAAUGCAAAGACUCCCCCUUUAAAUAACUAAACUUGCUCGAACACCGAAACCCUAGGCGCGUGCGAUCCAAAUGGGGAAGGAAGGAUCAACGGUUGUCGGUGAGUUCUAAUCAUUCGUAAACUUCCGUUAUUGUUAUCUGAAUCUGUAAUUUGUUGCUUUUCGAUCUGAUUAUACUGUUUGUUUGUGUUGUUUGAAGUUUUAGGGUUUUGAAUUUGUUUAUGUUUGUUAGGUUAGUGAACUCUAGGGUUAUUACAUUUGUUAGAUUGUUCAGAAUAUUUUGCUGUGCAGUAAUGCGGUUAAAGAUCGGAUACCGGUCAAGGACCGAUAUUUGAGGUAUACGUUAUCGUGGUGGGAUAUCGGUACUUUUAGUAUCAUACAGAAUUUAUAUAUAUACUUGAAACGCCGCCUCAAGGUCUUGACGCAUUUUUCUGAGCACCUUGCGUGUCUUUUUAAAACCGAAGAGGGUUCAUUUGGAACAAUUUGAGGGUGCCUUUUUGUUGUUAUCUGUGUUUUUUUUGGCAAUCAGAGGUUUGUGGUAUAGUAAAGAUCUACACUUGGAUCAAUAUUUUA